AGUAUAGCCGAGGGACAGAAUGUCUCAGUAAGACGGGCUCGGAGGGGAAGUGUUUUGGAAAGGCCUCUGCUUGCUCUGGGAGGCGUUCAGGAUGCUGAGGUUUUGGAAAUCUAUGGCGGCUCUUCACAACUGCUCCCAGCUUUGGGAGGAGGAAUAGACGGGUGCUCGUUUCCUCGGGUUCAGUGGCAAAGGUGAAGACCAGCACUGCCGACCUGGGACCUGGGCCUCUCCCGGGCCUGGGGAGGACACUGGACUUUGAAGGGGAAUGCAGCCUAGAAGGCCUGGACCCUGGAGUCAGGAGAUGCUGCUCCCAUCCAGUAAGCCCUGGCUGGAGCUCUUCUGGGCACCAACCCUGGCAUAAAACCAGUGGGGCCUCUGGGCCUGCACUCAACAGUGCCUCUGAUGGAGCAGGUUCAGCUUGGUUGUGACCUCUGCUAGAAGCCCUCCCUGGCCUCCCUGUGCACUGAGCUGGUGGUUCCUCCUUUGCGCCCCAGGUACAUGCUCAGAUCUGUGUACCCUACACUUUGUCCUCCAGCUUCGUGUUUGGAUGUUCACAACUCCCAUGAGAAGGGCCCCCGAGAGCUGGCACAGUGCAUGUGUUUCCUCUCCAGACUUCUACAAACCUGGCACAUAAUUGUUUGCUGAAAGAUGGCAUGUUCCUAAAACAGAGGAAGUAGAACCGAAUAAAGCGAAAUCCAACUUCCCA
This is a long non-coding RNA of Homo sapiens (human), 706 nucleotides long. RefSeq annotates it as long independently transcribed non-coding RNA 2580. Lineage: Eukaryota; Metazoa; Chordata; Mammalia; Primates; Hominidae. The transcript is spliced from 2 exons. The record is from RefSeq and is marked validated.